GGCCGCUCACUGCCGCGACGGGGUCGACACCAUGCUGCUGCGUGGGAACGAACGGCGCGACGGCAUCUCACGCGCGUGAGACGUGAGGAAGAAGGAAGAAACAAUGACGAAACACACGAGCAGAGGGACGACAAACCAAAACAAAGCACAAUCAUAAUUUACAAGCACAAGUUGGUCAGGGAGAGGAAAGUGGAGUGAUUUUUUGGAAGUUUGAGGAUUAGGAAUUUGAUUUAGAAUCGAGGAUUCGGGAGAGGAGUUUGUGGGCCGGGUGAACAACAAGUAGACGGACACAAAUUCGAACCACACGCGGGUAGAUCCGGGUGGCGAUCCUCGGAGGGACGACGAGACGGGUUAGGAAGGACCAGGACAGAACCGCUGUUUGUGUACAACUACAACACAAACGUAGAACACAAAUCCGGAUCGGGUUGGACGGAAAACAGGAAACAAACAAAUUCUUUGAUCUGCCGUGAAUAAAUUGGCUGAUAACAAGGAGUUGUUUCCGUUGGCGUCCCGAACAUGAGGGUU
This is a long non-coding RNA of Culex quinquefasciatus (southern house mosquito), 525 nucleotides long. RefSeq lists it as uncharacterized. NCBI's taxonomy places the organism in Eukaryota, Metazoa, Arthropoda, Insecta, Diptera, Culicidae. The transcript has 4 exons. The record is from RefSeq and is a predicted model, not a curated record.